UACUUCUCACUCUUUGGGUCCAUGUCAUCUUUAAGGGCUGUAACACUCACUGCAAAGGUCCCACGGCUUCAUUCUUGAAGUCAGCGAGACCACGAACCCACCAGAAGGAACAAACUCUGGACACACUACUAGCCCAUCUCAAUCCAGUUAUUUCAAGCAAAGUGGCCAGGUAGGCUCCAAAGGCUGUAUGUAGAAGGGAACAUAUCACCCAGACCCUCAGUUUGAGAAUUAAAGACUGGGUCAGUAGUUGAGAGUAUUGAAGCCUGCAUGAGGGAAUAUCAUGUUUUCUUACAUCAAAAGUCAAGCAAAGAUACCUGAGCCACAAAUAGCCACUUCCUACGAUCACACCUGAGGCUACCCCUACAGAGAACUCCAACCUUAUGCACAAUAAUAACAUCAGGAAAUUAACGAGGUAGUUAUUCUGGAUAGGUCUGGUGUGGGGCCUAGAAAAAUCUGCAUCUUAAUCAGCAGCUCUGGUCUUUCUGAGGCAGGCAGUUCACAACUACCAAACGAGAGACCGAGUUAUGACUCCUGUGAGUAGAGCACAGCCCCAGCAUGCACUUCUCUCAUUCUGCAGCAUGGUUGUGAACAUAUUUGGACCAGGAGGCAUCUUUUCAAGAGUCAAGAGAAACAAGGAAUGGUGGAGGCUCAGUCCUUGUUUUCGGUUAUUGGGGAACAGGUGAUGUUUGGUUACAUGGGUAAGUUCUUCAGUGGUGAUUUGUUAAGAUUUUUGGUGCACCCGUCACCCGAACAGUAUACACUGCACCCUAUUUGUAGUCUUUUAACCCUCACCCCUUCCCCUGAGUCCCCAAAGUCCACUGUAUCAUUCUUAUGCCUUUGCAUCCUCGUAGCUUAGCUCCCACUUAUAAGCAAGAAUAUAUGAUGUUUGAUUUUCCAUUCCUGAGCUACCUCACUUAGAAUAAUAGUCUCCAAUCUCAUCCAGGUCGCUCCGAAUGCCAUUAAUUCAUUCCUUUUUAUGGCUGAGUAGUGUUCCAUCAUAUAUAUAUACCACAGUUUCUUUAUCCACUCCUUGAUUGAUGGACAUUUGUGUUGGUUCCACGUUUUUGCAAUUGCGAAUUGUGGUGCUAUAAACAUGCGUGUGCAAGUUUCUUUUUUGUAUGACUUCUUUUCCUCUGGGUGGAUACCCAUUAGUGGGAUUGCUGGAUCAAAUGGUAGUUCUACUUUUAGUUCUUUAAGGAAUCUCCAUAUCCUUUGUGGCACUGAUCAAGGAAAUAGAA
RNAcentral lists this long non-coding RNA (1238 nucleotides) under Homo sapiens (human). Its description in RNAcentral is "HSALNT0307306". Lineage: Eukaryota; Metazoa; Chordata; Mammalia; Primates; Hominidae. The record is from RNAcentral.